AUUCAUCUUCGGGGCCGGGUGCAAUUCCCGACCGGCGGUGAUGGGGCGCAGCCCCUAAGCCCGCGAGCCGCAAGGCAGGAUUUGGUGAGAUUCCAAAGCCGACAGUACAGUCUGGAUGGGAGAAGGUGAAG
This 131-nucleotide non-coding RNA is filed under the name Edaphobacillus lindanitolerans. RNAcentral's name for it is "FMN sequence". It matches the Rfam family "FMN riboswitch aptamer (RFN element)". Rfam says of the family: The RFN element is a highly conserved domain that is found frequently in the 5'-untranslated regions of prokaryotic mRNAs that encode for flavin mononucleotide (FMN) biosynthesis and transport proteins. Lineage: Bacteria; Bacillati; Bacillota; Bacilli; Caryophanales; Bacillaceae. The record is from RNAcentral.